CCUCCAUCUCAGUCCCAAAAAACGAUUGAGGAAUCACCACUAGUGGAGAGGAAGGAAGAACAUUUACAUGAACACGAAGCUCUAUCUCAACUAGAGAAACAUAUAUCUUCUUCAUGAAUGGUCGUCAAACCUCAAACACUAGCUAGAUAAUAAGGUAAGCCACACUUGGUGGAGUAGAAAAAGGUUUCAACGUUUGUCACUAUGGGAUACCCAUCCCUUGAUUGUCGAUCCUAUAACUUUGAUGCACCUCUAGUACCAAGUGUGAAGGAAUUAGAAACUUUAUGCGCUCUAGAGUCACACCAACAUGAAACACUGCUUUGUCUCUUAGCAAUGUUCCAACAACCCUUUUCAUAUUGGUAGCAUUGCCUGAGACCAAAUCAAAUUCCUAAGCAGCAGGUGAGUCUAUCUUGGGUAAAUCCCACGAUGUCUCUAUCAUGCGAUUG
RNAcentral lists this long non-coding RNA (443 nucleotides) under Cicer arietinum (chickpea). RNAcentral's name for it is "long non-coding RNA (CARI_LNC002975)". Lineage: Eukaryota; Viridiplantae; Streptophyta; Magnoliopsida; Fabales; Fabaceae. The record is from RNAcentral.